CAAAGGAAUUGACGGGGCCCGCACAAGCGGCGGAGCAUGCGGAUUAAUUCGAUGCAACGCGAAGAACCUUACCAAGGCUUGACAUACACCGGUAACGCCCAGAGAUGGGUGCCCCUUUGUGGUCGGUGGACAGGUGGUGCAUGGUUGUCGUCAGCUCGUGUCGUGAGAUGUUGGGUUAAGUCCCGCAACGAGCGCAACCCUCGUCCUAUGUUGCCAGCGGGUCAUGCCGGGGACUCAUGGGAGACUGCCGGGGUCAACUCGGAGGAAGGUGGGGAUGACGUCAAAUCAUCAUGCCCCUUAUGUCUUGGGCUUCACGCAUGCUACAAUGGCCGGUACAAAGGGCUGCGAUACCGCGAGGUGGAGCGAAUCCCAGAAAGCCGGUCUCAGUUCGGAUUGGGGUCUGCAACUCGACCCCAUGAAGUCGGAGUCGCUAGUAAUCGCAGAUCAGCAACGCUGCGGUGAAUACGUUCCCGGGCCUU
This 479-nucleotide ribosomal RNA is filed under the name uncultured Curtobacterium sp. Its description in RNAcentral is "bacterial SSU rRNA". It matches the Rfam family "Bacterial small subunit ribosomal RNA", at positions 902 to 1382 of the family's 1533-position model. Lineage: Bacteria; Bacillati; Actinomycetota; Actinomycetes; Micrococcales; Microbacteriaceae. The record is from RNAcentral.